CCUACGGGGUGCAGCAGUGGGGAAUAUUGGACAAUGGGCGAAAGCCUGAUCCAGCCAUGCCGCGUGUGUGAAGAAGGCCUUCGGGUUGUAAAGCACUUUCAGUGGGGAAGAAAGCCUUGGGGCUAAUACCCUCGAGGAAGGACAUCACCCACAGAAGAAGCACCGGCUAACUCCGUGCCAGCAGCCGCGGUAAUACGGAGGGUGCGAGCGUUAAUCGGAAUUACUGGGCGUAAAGCGCGCGUAGGCGGUCUGAUAAGCCGGUUGUGAAAGCCCCGGGCUCAACCUGGGAACGGCAUCCGGAACUGUCAGGCUAGAGUGCAGGAGAGGAAGGUAGAAUUCCCGGUGUAGCGGUGAAAAGCGUAGAGAUCGGGAGGAAUACCAGUGGCGAAGGCGGCCUUCUGGACUGACACUGACGCUGAGGUGCGAAAGCGUGGGUAGCAAACAGGAUUAGAUACCCUUGUAGUC
Molecule: ribosomal RNA, 465 nt
Filed under: Vreelandella stevensii
Lineage: Bacteria; Pseudomonadati; Pseudomonadota; Gammaproteobacteria; Oceanospirillales; Halomonadaceae
Description: partial 16S ribosomal RNA
Rfam family: Bacterial small subunit ribosomal RNA
Source: RNAcentral